This 586-nucleotide long non-coding RNA is filed under the name Equus caballus (horse). RNAcentral describes it as "lncRNA (ENSECAG00000060071.1)". The record is from RNAcentral. Lineage: Eukaryota; Metazoa; Chordata; Mammalia; Perissodactyla; Equidae.
CUGACAUUUGCUGGUCUUCAAGAAUUUCUUACAGAGAGGCUGGGGGAAAAAACUACAAUGUUGAGACAUUCCUUUUUUCCUUAGCAUCUGGGAACCUCAACUGGAAACCCUUCAAUCCUUCCCCUUUUCCUGAGUAUACUCCUGAGAGACGAGCAAGAAGUUUAUUAUCUACCAUGACGAGAGGCCCAGAGCCAGACGGUUCCAGAAGUGGGCGGGCCGGCUGCUCGGCUACGUCUUCAGGAGAAAGGUUCUUCCUAUGUUGCCUCCCGCCACUCCUGGGAGUCAUGUCUACUUAGGCUCGAUCCUCUUAUGGGGACUAGAUGGCUGCUGCAGGUCAUUUAAAAAAAAUACACGAGGACUUUUUCUUACAAAAGUGUGGGGAGUCCUUGAAGGGAGGGGGAACGAGGAGUUGUUUAAUGGGUAUCGAGUUUCAGUUUUGCAAGAUGGACAGGGUUCUGGAAAUUGGUUGCACAGUCAUGUGAAUGUGCUUAACACUAUUGAGCUGUACACUUAAAAAUUGUUAAUGUGGUAAGUUUUAUGAUAUGUGGAUUUUAUCACAAUUUAAAAAUGUGAAAAAUACAUUGGG